RNAcentral lists this long non-coding RNA (596 nucleotides) under Bos taurus (domestic cattle). RNAcentral describes it as "long non-coding RNA NONBTAT004903". The record is from RNAcentral. Lineage: Eukaryota; Metazoa; Chordata; Mammalia; Artiodactyla; Bovidae.
CUCUUGGGGUGAUGGACUAUCUCGCUAUCAUAAUGCACUGAACAAGGAUCUGGGAUAGGAACUGGGCAGGUGGAUGAGUGUCCAGGGACCCAGCCAUGGAAAGGGACCUGAACCCAGAGGAAGACAUGCAGAAAAUAAUUUUAGAUUUCUUAAUCCAAAUAGAGAAGGCUUCACCUCUGCUGCCUUUGCACACAGAGAUUCUUCACUAAUCAUAAGACAGAUUCCAUUUCUUACUGAAAUUUUUUGAUGAAGACAGGUUUCCCACUGGAUCCUUGAGACUUGAUAGCAAACACCAACAUAUUACAAUCCUGUGAAUCCUGCCCCUGGUUCAGGGCAAUCUGUUUUCCAACCCACACAGUGGUGUUUAGGCUGCAUGACUUCAGGAAGAAGCACAAUUAGAUGCCUCUGCGUCGCCUCCCACCUCAAAGGAAAGCAGAAUAUUAGAAAGAGGCACUAGAAUUGGUCAGGAAGAAGAAAAUUAUUUUAUCUUCAGACUCUUUGACCAAUGGAAAAAUUUGCAUGGACCUGAUGAAUGGUUAACUUGUUCACAUGAUAUAGAUUUUUGGGUUGAUGUAAAUGAUCUGUCUUUUGCAGUC